This 199-nucleotide unclassified non-coding RNA is filed under the name uncultured Clavicipitaceae. RNAcentral describes it as "sequence contains ITS2". Lineage: Eukaryota; Fungi; Ascomycota; Sordariomycetes; Hypocreales; Clavicipitaceae. The record is from RNAcentral.
CAACCCUCAAGCUCCCCCAGCCAGGAGGAGCCUGGUGUUGGGGACCGGCCGCAACGCCCUCGCGCCGCCUGGCGCGGUGGCACGCCGCCCCCGAAAUGAAUUGGCGGCCUCGUCGCGGCCUUCCCUUGCGCAGUAGCAUGACCACCUCGCAACCGGGAGCGCGGCGCGGCCACGGCCGUAAAACGCCCAACUUCUCAAG